Paralichthys olivaceus (Japanese flounder) is the source of this 5687-nucleotide RNA transcript. It is a transcript of the gene named bromodomain-containing protein 8-like, with no coding region annotated. NCBI's taxonomy places the organism in Eukaryota, Metazoa, Chordata, Actinopteri, Pleuronectiformes, Paralichthyidae. The record is from RefSeq and is a predicted model, not a curated record.
GUGAUAUAAUGAUAAUUAUUACUUUAGUUGCCUGGUAAACAAGUGUGGUCAAGUUUCUCCGGUCCAGGCAUCGUGUAGCCUCCAUACUUUUUAUCGUUUAUGGUAAAAAAAAAAAAAAAAAUUGAUCUGUUGCUUUAAUGUUUCCACGUGUAUUAUUAUUAUCAUGAAUUGAAAUAAUCAUAUUGACUGCUGAACAAACUCAGUGGAUUAGGUUAAGAUUAUGUCCCAGGCCCCUCCGGGUUGUACCAUCUUCGCUGUGGUGGUGGGCGUGUUCGAACAGCGGAUCGCUUCAGUGAUCUCGACAUUAAACUCAGUUAUUUCUCGACUGUCGAGGUUAACGCGAGAUUCCUCCGACUGUCAACAAAGAAAUCCCCGUGUAGCAUUUAAGCUAGCUGCUCCAUCCUCCAGUUUAAGACACGCAGAACGAGUGGGACUUUAACGCACAGCGGUGCUUCUGCGUGGAGAGAAAGAAAAAAAGCCUCCACUUCCCUCAACGUGACAUUCACCGAUGUCCACGUUUUCAUGCCGGACCGUCGUUAUCUGCUGGUCUGCGUCUGCACCGAGAUGAAUGGCAUCAUGUCGGGAUGACAGGAAGAUGGCAAACGGGGUUGGAAAACACAAGCCGCAUGUCAUCGGACCAACGGAGCCAUGGUCAGUGAGGGAGAAGCUGUGUUUGGCCACAUCUGUCAUGAAGAGCGGACACCAGAACUGGGUAUCUGUCAGUCGAGCCAUCAAACCAUUUGCAGAACCUGGGCGGCCACCUGACUGGUUCUCUCAGAAGCACUGCGCCUCAAAGUACUCUGAGCUCCUGGAAGCAACAGACGCCCCAAAGAGGAAGCGUGGUGAGAAAGGUGAAGUGGUGGAGACGGUGGAGGAUGUGAUAGUGCGCAGGCUGACGACUGACAGGAUCGCUGAACUAAAAAAGCUAAUCAAAGAAACUCAGGAGAAGCACAGGAAGCUGAAGAGAGAGGCUGAGCUGAUUCAAGCAGGACAUCUAGAUUCCAAACUAGAAGAGCUAUGGGAGGAAAUACGGCAGAAGAAGAAAGUGGAGGAGGAAGACGCAGAGUUGAAAAGAAAAAACACAGAUGCUGCUUAUCAGGGUAUCUCCUUCACGUUGAAGGCCAGACAGGUGGCAAAGGGCACAACCAAGCGAGUGCCCGACGUGUAUUCGCCCUCAGGCUGCGGCUCCCCAAGCCAGGAGUUCUCACCAGGUGACCCCCUCGAGAGCUUGACUCUGGAUCUUGGAUCUAUUAAAAAUGCUUCGGGAUCGGCCAGGUUCAUGACAUUUUCAGAGUCUUCUGGACUUGGUAUUGAAGACAUCAACCAGGCGUCACUUCUGGACGACCUCACCCAAAAGAAACUCCUGUGCCAGAAAGCCACACCACCGCCGUCUCCACUCCUGUCAGAGUUACUGAAGAAAGGCAACAUCUUGGCCUCUAAUUCCAGACUGAUUGGUGAUGGUGACGUGUCCUCUGGUAAUAUGAUCGCAGCACAUGACUUGCAGCUGGCUCUGCCGAGUCAACCUCUCUCUCAGGCAACAGGUGCCCCGAUGUUGUCUCGUCUCUUGGAGGCGGGUCCCACGCAGUUAUCUGCUCCAUUAAGUUUCAUGGUCGGCACCAACUCCGUCUCCAGCGCUCCUCUAUCGGCUGCCUCUCUUCUUCCUGUUGACUCCACAGCCUCAGCGAGUACAGAGGACAAAGGGUCAGGUCUCUGUGAGGAAGACGAGACAGUGUCCUACAUGGGAGAUGAGCUGGACCUCAAGACUGUGGGGGACAUUAUUGCCAUCAUUGAAGACAAGGCCGAUGAAGCUGCUGAUGCUUUGGAUGCUGCUGCAGUCGAGGCUGCUCUGUCCCUGUGUGAGGAGAAUGGCCACGCUCUGGUGUCUGGUGCCUGGGAAGCUGGGCCUUUCCAACCCCAUGACUCCCACCACAUAGUGCCCACAGGGGUUCCACAGGCAUCAUCUCUUCUCUGUAGCCUGGAGGGGAAGACAGACGUGUCAGAAGUCCAAGAUGAGACUUCAGCUUCACUCUCUUCUCUGUGCAACACUCAAAAUCACUGUCUCUCAGUGUUCCCCAUGGGAUUAAGAAGUGUUCCUCUCAGCUGCUCGUCCUCAUUCAACUCGAAGAGUUUGGAGCACUGCCCCGCUGGAGCACCUCCAAGGCCUGAGGCCAUGAGAGAAACUGGAAAGAUGAUGCACACGAAAAGCCAAAUGACCUCGGAUGUUGCCAUAAAACGUGAGAGUGAGAAGUGGGCACAGCUAAGACCUAAUAAAGCACAUAGAGAAUUGGUAUUAGAAGAUAGACCACUGACAGAAAGGCAUCCAAAGGUGAUGAAGGCAGAGAAUGGAAUCAGUGGUGGGCGAGGAGAGAGUGCCUCAAGGUCUAGAGAGGACAAUGAGAUCAACGGGCCAGACGUGGGCGGAGAGGAGGAGGGCGAUGGGGUCGAGGGAUUCUUGUCAGAGCCGGACGGCGACAUGGAUCUCGAGCCCGCGGCCAGUGAGAGUGAGGACGGAUACAGCCUCCACACAGCGUCCUCAUCUCUGCAGCUCCACACGACUGCAGACUCCAUCCCCAGCAGCCCGGCCUCAUCGCAGUUUUCUGUGUGCAGCGAGGACCUAGAAGCACUACAGGCUCACAAGAUCUGGAAGAAAGCCAUUAUGCUGGUGUGGCGUGCAGCAGCCAAUCACAGGUACGCUAAUGUCUUCCUGCAGCCAGUAACAGAUGAUAUUGCACCUGGAUAUCACAGUAUUGUGCAAAGGCCCAUGGACCUGGCCACCAUCAAAAAAAACAUAGAGACUGGUUUGAUCCGGACGACCGCCGAGUUCCAGAGGGAAAUCAUGCUGAUGUUUCAGAACGCUGUGAUGUACAACAGCCUGGAUCACGACGUGUACCACAUGGCGCUGGAGAUGCAGCGCGACGUCCUGGAGCAGAUUCAGCAGUUUCUAGCCACCCAGCUCAUCAUGGAGACGUCAGAGGCGGGUAUCAGCGCCAAGAGUCUGAGGGGCCGUGAGAGCACACGCAAACAGGACUCGACUGACAAGGUGCUUCACUAGAAUUUUGACAAAAGCAGAGAGUACAGAAGAAGAGACAAGGGACACUGUCUCCAUGUCUUCUCCUGCCUUCCUCCUUUCUCUUUUUGAUGGAGGCACCAGGGGGCGCCGUUGUGCCAUAGAAGCUGACCUCAAGAUGAAGAAAUGAACGUUGAGUAUGAACAUUUUGCCUGUGCAUCCGUGCGUCGGACUGAAAGGUGUGAUACCGUAAGACUGAACUUUAUCCUCUGACAGUUGCACAGAUUCUCACUCUGCAUAAUGUGCAGUGUGACCUUUAUUUGCACUCUUGAUUAUAUGGGUAGACUGAAAUGUGGAGAAGAUCCUUUACUCUGAGACAGCCAUAAAGACAUGGAUUACAUACUGUGUAAUCCCAGAUUACAAUGGGACGUUCAGAAAGACUAGGUCAAACCCUCCGUAGACGUAGCUACAGAUCACUCAGACUUAGCCUGCUUUGAAUUUCAUCAGGUUACAUAAGCGAAGAAGGAAAGUUCCUCCUCGUCUCCAAGUGAGCUGAAAAUAAAUCUGCAGGAGGAGGCCUGGUUCGACUCCAGAUCAGUGUGCUUGAUUUUGAUCUCAUGUAAAACCAGAGGCCAAAGACUCUCAUUAAUCUAAUUUCUGAUCAGUCUGAGCCCUGAAGGGUUUCAAAUAUAAACACUUUCAUUGCUCUUAUAAAAUAUUUUCCUUUUUAAUUUUAAAACUUCAAAAUGUUUGUGAUGAGUUGAUUUUAUUUGUGGUACACUUCCUGUGAAACGGUACCUCCAUGCAUUCUCUCGUUGUUUACAGUGUUUUUGAAAAAGAAAAAAAUUAACUGUCAUGUUAAGAAUCUGUUUUGUGAACUUUCAAAUGUUGAAACAAUAAAAACUGUAUUAAGUGCCCCGAAUCUACGAUGUUACGCUUGAAUUGGAUUUAAAAAAGUCCACAGUGCCAACUCAAAAAACCCCCCCACACCACUGCAGUAACUUGCAAUUUAACUUUGAUGUUUAAGAAAUGUUUUUUUGUGCAAAAAUUCCUUUGGGGAGUCUGAGUUUUUAUAUCUAUUUUUUAAAAUGUGUCUGAUUUGCCUAAUUUGUGAUCAGUUUACUGUACGUCAAUGGGGGAGCAGAUUUUCCUCUGGGUUGGGUUUGGGAGUUUUUUAUCUGUAUUGCACAAAACUGUUCAGUUACAUGAGCAUUGCAAGAAAAAUAAGUUACAUCUGUUGUUUCAUAUACCUUUUCUUUUUUAAACUGUUGUUACUCAGUACUGUGGUUGUACAAAGAGGAGACAGCACCUUCCACAAAGCUGCCACUCUGGUGUUAUAACAAAGGACUUGUCCAUAUUAGGUUUUGUUUCAUCAUGUUCAGUCGGGCAUGCACUGGAUAACUAGAACAGCAAGUCAAAGUGCUCUCCAGAAUGAAGGCGUACAUGUUUCCAUAGAACCACGGGACUUACUACAAGAUGCAAACAUCUUGUUCACCUUAAAUACAGAAAACAUUUUUACAAAGGAACCAGUGAAGUUGUGGGAAAAUUAAUGGUAUCAAAAUCAUGCUUCUCUAUAGGGAGAGAGGAAAGUGGAGAAACCCCAAUGCCACUCAUCUCUUUUGCAAGGUGGUAGUUUUAAAAAUGCACCAAAAUUUCUUGAGCCAAAUUUCAUCAUCCAGCAGGUAAACAAUCUUAAUAUGGCCGAAGAAAACCAAGAACUUUUCAGGCUGAGGUGACGUAAAGUCAGUCAUUGACCUGAUCUUAGUCAGAUUCCACUUACUGAGGACUAGGCAGUGAAGCUCUGGGAGAAAAUCAACAGGGAGGGCAACGUCAACUGUCUGUGGGUCAAGGUCUUAAGGAUUUAGGAAGUAUGAUGAUCUUGUUUGACUUUACGUGCACCUGUCUGGUUACUUUUGAACCCCAAAACUUAGGGCACUAUGUGUUGAGAGGCCUCAAUCUCCCUCUGAUUCCAGUUUAUAAUGUCAACCAAUUGACAUUAAAGUUGAGACUUGACUUUUGCAGUAUCUAUUAUUUUACUUCAAUUCUGAAUGUGCUGAAGCUCGCUCUGAAAAACGAAAUGUGUAGCUGUCAGACAGUUUCACAUACUGUUCAGAUGCCCGUGUCACCUGUAUAUUUAAUUUACCUGCUCAAUAAUGUGACCAGACACAUUAGACACUGUGACAAACCAACCAUAGAAUCACACAUGAACAAGUCAAAGCAUCUUCUGGAUACACGUUUAAUUUUCUGGUACUUUUGGUUGAAGUGUACAACCACACUGACUGAUACCAAAACCUGAUCUGUGUGUGUGUAUUACAGUUACAGUUUGACAUGUCUGUAAGUUAGUGGCCCUGAAUACUCUUUUAGUAACAUUUAGUGUCAGUAGUCAUGAGUGUGUUCACUGAAACAAAACAAAAAAAUAUGCAACUAGUAACACUCUCUCACAAGGAUGCAUGCAACAGUAGUGACAUGGAACACAAGAGUAAAUAUGAACGUAAAAGUGCUUGAGGUGAACCUGAAUCUUUCACAAAUACGACAACAGCUAAGGCAGUUUGGCAGUCGUAGUGCACAGCGACGAGUAUUCAUGUCUGUUGAGGGUUUGAUUUAAAGAAUUAAAGUUAACUUCUCAAAGUUAGUGUCCUACUCAUGACAAGACGAGUAAAAGUCACAGUUCUGUUUCCUA